Molecule: ribosomal RNA, 440 nt
Filed under: uncultured bacterium
Lineage: Bacteria
Description: partial 16S ribosomal RNA
Rfam family: Bacterial small subunit ribosomal RNA
Source: RNAcentral
CCUACGGGAGGCAGCAGUGGGGAAUAUUGGACAAUGGGGGAAACCCUGAUCCAGCGACGCCGCGUGAGUGAAGAAGUAUUUCGGUACGUAAAGCUCUAUCAGUAGGGAAGAAAAUGACGGUACCUGACUAAGAAGCCCCGGCUAACUACGUGCCAGCAGCCGCGGUAAUACGUAGGGGGCAAGCGUUAUCCGGAUUUACUGGGUGUAAAGGGAGCGUAGACGGCAGGGCAAGUCUGGAGUGAAAUGCCGGGGCCCAACCCCGGAACUGCGGUGGAAACUGUGAAGCUGGAGUGGAGGAGAGGUAGGCGGAAUGCGUGGUGUAGCGGUGAAAUGCGUAGAUAUCAGGAGGAACACCGACGGCGAAGGCAGCUUACUGGACUGUAACUGACGUUGAGGCUCGAAGGCGUGGGGAGCGAACAGGAUUAGAUACCCUAGUAGUC